This 75-nucleotide transfer RNA is filed under the name Candidatus Onthousia faecavium. RNAcentral's name for it is "tRNA-Arg". It matches the Rfam family "tRNA". From Rfam's summary of the family: Transfer RNA (tRNA) molecules are approximately 80 nucleotides in length. Their secondary structure includes four short double-helical elements and three loops (D, anti-codon, and T loops). Lineage: Bacteria; Bacillati; Bacillota; Bacilli. The record is from RNAcentral.
GUCCUUAUAGUUCAAUGGAUAGAACAAGGUCCUCCUAAGACUUAGAUGAAGGUUCGAUUCCUUCUAAGGACGCCA